This 253-nucleotide ribosomal RNA is filed under the name uncultured bacterium. RNAcentral's name for it is "partial 16S ribosomal RNA". It matches the Rfam family "Bacterial small subunit ribosomal RNA", at positions 524 to 776 of the family's 1533-position model. The record is from RNAcentral.
GACGUAGGGCGCGAGCGUUGUCCGGAUUUAUUGGGCGUAAAGAGCGUGUAGGCGGCUUGGCAAGUCCGCUGUGAAAACUCGAGGCUUAACCUCGAGACGUCGGUGGAAACUGCCUGGCUAGAGUCCGGAAGAGGAGAGUGGAAUUCCUGGUGUAGCGGUGAAAUGCGCAGAUAUCAGGAAGAACACCCGUGGCUAAGGCGGCUCUCUAGUACGGUACUGACGCUGAGACGCGAAAGCGUGGGGAGCGAACAGG